AUAGCGUAUAUUAAAGUUGUUGCAGUUAAAAAGCUCGUAGUUGAACUUGAGCACCGGCUGGGUGGUCUGCCUCACGGUAUGUACUGUCUAGCUGGGGCUUACCUUCUGGUGAGCUUGCAUGCCGUUCAUUCGGUGUGUGAGGGAACCAGGACUUUUACCUUGAGAAAAUUAGAGUGUUCAAAGCAGGCAAAUGCCCGAAUACAUUAGCAUGGCAUAAUGGAAUAGGACGUGCGGUUCUAUUUUGUUGGUUUUUAGAGUCGCCGUAAUGAUUAAUAGGGACAGUUGGGGGCAUUAGUAUUGAGUUGCUAGAGGUGAAAUUCUUGGAUUUACUCAAGACUAACUACUG
Molecule: ribosomal RNA, 346 nt
Filed under: Clavulina sp. MB03-034
Lineage: Eukaryota; Fungi; Basidiomycota; Agaricomycetes; Cantharellales; Hydnaceae
Description: SSU rRNA
Rfam family: Eukaryotic small subunit ribosomal RNA
Source: RNAcentral